AACCCCUCUUUUCUACAGACACAGUGAGUCGCAGGAUCUGACAAGAGUCCAGGAGCUCCAGAGACUGUGAGGUUAUCAGGGGACAGAGAGACCAAGAGGUCAAGAGCUGUGGGACACCACAGAGCAGCACUGAAAGAG
Non-coding RNA from Chlorocebus sabaeus (green monkey), 138 nucleotides. Lineage: Eukaryota; Metazoa; Chordata; Mammalia; Primates; Cercopithecidae. The record is from RefSeq and is a predicted model, not a curated record.